CAGCUUACUUCUUUCUUACCAUUGUAGGUUAUCCUUGGUUUUGUCAAACACAUCACAAGAUGUAAAUCCAUUUCAUCAGAAGAUACAAAUUUUGAACAUACAGGGCACUUGAAUCCUAUGAAAGAUAAAAAUAUGUGCAGCUAAUAGGAAACAAGCCAAAACAGAUAACUGGAGGAACUCCGAACAGCAACUGAACAUAUACACUGGAAACCACUUCCUGGCUUAAAGUUUGGAAACUAUCCAAAGGGACAAGUUGAUGUGUGGCCACCCACUCUAUCCAUACCAACUUCAACCUGUUUUUGUUGAUAUCUUGCUGUGUUUGCCUUGCUUUGCAAACAGCAGAUUGCUUAACUUGCAGUUCAGUUCACAGCAAAGCUAACAAAUAAUAAUAAAAAAACCAACAAAAAUCAAACUCCUGGACUCCAUAUUUUUUGCAAAAACAUUUUGGCACUAAUCCUGCUAUAUAUGUAUUGCGGUGGGG
Dromaius novaehollandiae (emu) is the source of this 481-nucleotide long non-coding RNA. RefSeq lists it as uncharacterized. The transcript has 3 exons. The record is from RefSeq and is a predicted model, not a curated record. Lineage: Eukaryota; Metazoa; Chordata; Aves; Casuariiformes; Dromaiidae.